AUUGUAAUAGCAUACUUUGCAGUAUUUGAAAAUGAAGUCUUUUUUACCUUUAGGUUAAUACAAAGACUAUCACAAUUAAUUUAAUUAAUAUUGAUUCAUAUAUUUUAAUAAGAUUAUAACACAGCAUCCAGAUAGUUAUGAGCAGAGAUAUAAUUUCAACCAAAAGAAUCUUAAACUAAUGGACCACCAAUAAGUAUUAAAAAGUACUCGCUUAUUACCAAAACUGUUCAAAAAUUUGUUAUUAAACUUGAAUUCGUAUGUAUAUCCUUUCCUAGUAAAACAACAAAAUGUAAACACCAAACCUUUCACACCAAUCAACAUAACACGGAACACCUUUCAGCCACUCUCCACGCACUCUUCUGAAGAAUAUAACCAGCUUGCCAAAAAACAAGAUCACUAAAAUGACAUCCGUAUCACAAGCAGGCUACCGGCCAAAAAACUUUCCCUCGAACAGGCCAAUCAGCAAAACGAGAUCAACUCACUCUGCAGAGGCGGCGACAUCAUAACCCGAAUGCAAGGAGCCACAAUCAGUUCCUCGGGUUGGCACGCGCUGUUGGAACACCAAGAGAUUCUCCAGGAUACGACAAGGACGCGUCGAAGGGACAGGGACAGCGGAGAAAGCGAGCGUCGUAAGGAAGGAAGGAGGAAAGAUAGUAGGCAGUGAAGAGGAAAAGAAGAGACAAAGAUGCAGCUAGGAAGGAGCAACAGAGAGAGCUAAACCAAGAGGGAGAGGGAAAGAACGUACAAUGUGCAGAAUGGGAAGAGAGCAAGAGAAAGGAGAGGGAGAGGCAAUCUCACUCUCAGUGACACGUAAACUGGACUGCAGAAGCAAACAUAGCCUCGUCGUUGGCGAUGUCCCGCAGGCUCACUGCAAGUGGUUGCAAAUGUUCGUCGUAAUGACGCUGCCGUUUUUCUGGAGUAUAUCCACUUGAUGCCCUCGCCUUGCCCAAGAAACACGGUAAUGGUUCUUGGCUGAUCGUUAACCGACUGGUUCACUUGGAAAUGCGAUGUUAAUUGGUUAUUAAUCGACCAUUAACCAGAUGGCCUCGAUAAAACCGGAACAUUUUGCUUCGUAUAUCAGCAAACUAUUCUAUUGGAUCUUUUAUUGCAUCGAACAUACGCAUACACACGAAUUCAUUAACGUGAGAUGGUGUAAAAUUACUGGUUAAUUAUAAAUUGGUCAUUAAUCGAUAAGAAAUACCGAAAACAGGAUACAGCAGUUCUUUUGUUCCUACGUUUCUCUCGAAUCUAUAUUUAAAUUCAUAUUUUACAUAUUUAUCUAAAUUAUUUACAGACUCUUAUCAGAGGUUAAUUAAUCAUCCAACAACGCAUGAUGGAUUUCAGAUUUACAUAUCAUCAUCGUGAAUCUUGAGUUCAAACUCGUUCGCAUUCGAGUAUCAGACUGCUACCAAAUUAAUUGAUAUUCAAUUAGGUCCCAGGAGUCUUUUCACAGGAAAGUUUUAAACUUCAUGGUAAUUCGUUACCCGAACACAUGCUCCAAAUUCCCAAAUCAAGUGGCCAAAAAGCGCCAUUUUAAUUGACACUUCAUUAACCAAAUUGGUAAAGCAUAAUCAAUUUCAGCAAAUUUUUAAUUUACCAAGAAACGUUAAUCACGAUGCAGCACGUAUCUUAUAUGUCCAAACUAAUUAUUCAAAACGGUGUUCCUAAUUAAAAGUUAAUUAAUCAAUUAGUAGAAAACGAUUCUCUGUAUCAGAAGACAUUGAAUACAUUGAAACGAAUCCUGAUCCAUUUCUGAACGCUACAUUGGGCAAAGAAAUAUGGAAUAGGCAUUCUUACGUAACCCAAGUGGAACGAGUCCUUUUCCGGACUCGAUUCUCGGAUCGUCUCUAAUGAUACGGACUAUCCGCCGCCAAUGAGACAUAAAUCGCUUAAUCAUCGUUACCGUACUCUCCAACAUUCCAUCGUUUCUCGUUUCACUCAGUCGUAAGCAUGGAUUAGCAGAAAUCUCUAGUCUCCUUUCUGCUUAUUUUACCGCGAUACACAUGAAUGAUUUUUCAGGACGAUUCCAGGAGUAUAGGUUUGUGAUAAUAACACUAGCUAUGAAUCAUGCUCGGCUCAAUUAAGUCACAACUUCUCCGUUUAUUUCUCUGACAAAUAUCUGUUUAACAUGCUGUUUGCUGAUACAUGGAGAAAUGUAGAAAAGGAAUUUAAGAUUAUGGAGGAUGUGAAAGAGUAACAUCUAUUCUGUAGGAAAAUUGUCCAAAGAUUAAAGUAAAGCUGUAAUCGUGAGUAUUCGCGACUACUCGGUUAUCCCCACCUUCUGCGUUAUCAUGAGAGGAUUGCAGUGCAAUUCUACGCUCAGCCAAUAAGCAUAUAGUUUUUGUCCCCUCUACUUUACAGCUAAUAUUCUAUAGAAGUGGUAAUAUGCUAGGUGUAUGCCUGACUUAACAUUUAUUCUUACUGGCUAUAAAGCAGGAACUAUAUAAUACGUUUUUUAAAUAAUUUACCUCUUCUUCAAAAGCAAUCUUUGUAUUUUGUUAUUAAUUGAUUUUUUGUUUCUGGUAAAAUGGACUGGGAGGAGAAAUUCUGUUUAUUGGUCAUCAAUUAAGGCAGAUCCGCAACUUAUAGUUGGAGUUCCUUAUUUAUGAUGGCACGCUGUCUGUUUCGUUUUACUUGAGGUUAAAAUAGAUGCAUAAACAUAAAGCUGCAUCUGGAACGAACUGUUAAUACCCAGUAGCAUUUGCUCACGCUGCUUCUCUUUGAUUUCACAUCAUGCAUACGUAAGAAGUCGCAACGAUGUCUGGAUAACGACUGAGUAACACGACUAAUCUUCGGCAGUGGUUUUUAGCAUUUAACAUGAACAACUUGUGCAUUCUAAUGCCUAGAAGAACGAACGAACCGAGACAAAAACCUUUCAUUUGCAAAUGUCCAUAAAUCAAUUUUCUUCAUUAACAAGUAUUCUCAUCAAUCUUUAUUUGAUAUCCUUUCCUCGCUAAAAAUAAUGUUUUACAAAUUACAAAAAAUAUAUUUAGUACGUAAUUAUCUCGUACGAUUCAUAAAAGCUCAUAUAGCCAUUAAAUAUUAUUAUAUAUCUGUCUGUCCAUAAUUACAGAUAUUUCGCUAGUACUAGUGAUUACAGUCGAUCUUAUAUUUGAGAAUUUGAAGUUAGCGCUUUUAACGUCUCCAUAACCUCACUCGCUCAACAUAACCGCAACCAUAGCGUGCAAAUUUCAUUUCCUCCUUACUUUUUACUUUACUGUGGAGGUCGAAUACGAUUCACCGAGAUUCUUUCCUUCACAGAACUUACCAUAAAGGUAUAUACCACUAAUGAUCUUUAUUGUAUCAAAGAUCAGAGAUAUUUUAGCAGAAAUAUCGAUCAGAAAUUACGAACGAUUCGAUACAUGAUAAGUUGCUGCCGAGAUACUGACUCGAUUCUCGUUCGUCGAAGAACCGAUUAAAAGAGUGGAUCGAAAUUGACGGCUUAAUUUAAUUCAGAGGGAAGGCAUACAACGUUGCAACAUCUCUUUUUGGUUCAGCCAGGACAUUCGCUUCCGAGAAUGCCAUGGAGAAAUGUCUUCAUCGAGCUGCUUAGUGGCAACUGCCACAUCACAGUUUUUGCUCUUGUUCCCUUCCAACUUUUUCAUCGUUCAUGGAAUUGACGAACAUUUCUGGUUCAUAGUAUGACUCUAAACGAGACGAAGAUUCGAUUUAAAAUCAUGGGUUUCAAUCAAAGCUGUACUUCGUCUUCCUUCAAUCAUUCCAAGCAUUUCCUUCAUUUGAAAAGGAUGAAGGUUUCCUCAAUCAAUUUUUUGUCGUUAUGAAUUACCCUUUUU
Long non-coding RNA from Bombus pascuorum, 3794 nucleotides. RefSeq lists it as uncharacterized. The transcript has 4 exons. NCBI's taxonomy places the organism in Eukaryota, Metazoa, Arthropoda, Insecta, Hymenoptera, Apidae. The record is from RefSeq and is a predicted model, not a curated record.